UAACGAAGCACGCCCUAUAUUUGUGUGUACUGGCAUAUUGUGUACGUGUGUGUAUGUGUCGCCGUAGUUUACUUGUGAGACAUGACCAGAGAUUGAUUGACAACAUACAGUCCUACAUGCGACCAUAAAAAGCCAGUAGUCUUAGACAGCGCACAUUCUCAAGAACGUUGCCGCCAAUAUUGCUGUGUGCUUGUAACGCGCAACCUGUGCACGAGAGAGCUUGUUGAUUCACAAGGCAUAUAUACAAACCUGUAACCGACCAAAGCAACGGAGAAAUUUAUAAAGAAUUUGAAAGCAAUGAAAAUGAAAGGGACUAGGCUGGUCACCAUAAUGCUGGUAGGAAUGCGUAUAUUCUAAUCAGGGUGAUGGAUUCUCGUUGCAAAGCUUUCGUAAAAACUUCAUUGACUGUGUAACUGUGUAAACAAUGUAAUAGUAUACAUGAUAUAGCUAGUCACCGUAGAAAGAGAGACAGCUGAAAGCAGGGUGGUAAAGCAGGGUAAAGCAGGGGUCUGUGAUUUCUUGUUUUUCGGGGAACAGGCUUGAAAUCCACGAUAUUCCGUCCAUAUGUCUUGUAAACUUGAGAAAUUGCUAUGCUAUAUACUCACACAAAAAUCGGAUUGCCUACAUUAUAUAUUAACAUUCAUGUGUUUUUGUUGAAUAAAGGAGAAUUGUUUGUGAAAAACAGUGAUAGUAAAACUCUUUUACAGUACAAGCGGUAUUGCUGACCAGUUGAACACCAACCUUGCUUAUGUAUCAUGUACAAGCUCACUCAGUCCUACAACUCAUUAGGAUUUGAUAUACUUCGUCAACAUUUACAACUCUCUUUCACUAGCUCUCACGUUACAGCGAUUAAACAAAUCUGUUAUAAGAGAAUAAAUGCUAGGCCGAGCCUGGCGAGUGAAUUUUA
Molecule: long non-coding RNA, 907 nt
Organism: Priapulus caudatus
Lineage: Eukaryota; Metazoa; Priapulida; Priapulimorpha; Priapulimorphida; Priapulidae
Exons: 2
Source: RefSeq, a predicted model, not a curated record